This is a long non-coding RNA of Bos indicus x Bos taurus (hybrid cattle), 672 nucleotides long. Lineage: Eukaryota; Metazoa; Chordata; Mammalia; Artiodactyla; Bovidae. The record is from Ensembl.
ACCAGACUUAUAUACUGAUUGCUUAAUGUUCAAAAUGGAAUAAUGCUAAGUUUUAAUCACAAGUUUGAGAUGUUACUGAGUCCUUCUAACUUGGCAGAAAUACAACCUCUAACACUGUGUUCCUAGUGGUAGAGAUGAUGAAAACUCUGCAGUACUUCCCUGGGCUGUUUGGAGUCAUUCUUGCAGAAAUGCUGGCUGGUGUCACCCAAGGAUAUAUGAUAUGUUUCUAGUCACACCCUAGGACUCCCACCCUUGUAGCUUAUACUUUUCAGUUCUUGCAGGCUCAAACUGUGGUCUCUGACUCCUCAGCCUUAAGUGACAGCUACUUCUACUUGAGCUUCAUCUCUUGAACACCCUGGCAGUGCCUUCAGAAAAGAAGGUGGAUGAAUGCAGAUCUCACUUCAUCAUCUUCACCUUCUAUGAAGAUCACAUUCCCUUCAGAAAUUUCUGGGAUGAAUAAACAGCUACACAAGAUGGAAUGAUCAAGUCCUCCUGACAGUGAAAACUAUUUAACUGCUCAUGGUGGGAAGCAUUAGAUCUUCAUAUACCACACCUUCAGGGGAUUCGUGGGAAUUAUUGAUUGCUCUGGCAUGACUGAAGGUAUCAAAUGAUUAAUUUUAUUGUACUCAAAAUAGAAAUAAUAUUUAAGAACUGAAACAGAGAAUAAAAGCU